GACGAACGCUGGCGGCGUGCCUAAUACAUGCAAGUGGGACGCAAGAGAACACACUGUGCUUGCACACCGUGUUUUCUUGAGUCGCGAACGGGUGAGUAACGCGUAGGUAACCUGCCUAUUAGCGGGGGAUAACUAUUGGAAACGAUAGCUAAUACCGCAUAAUAUUAAUUAUUGCCUGAUAAUUGAUUGAAAGAUGCAAGCGCAUCACUAGUAGAUGGACCUGCGUUGUAUUAGCUAGUUGGUAAGGUAAGAGCUUACCAAGUCGACGAUACAUAGCCGACCUGAGAGGGUGAUCGGCCACACUGGGACUGAGACACGGCCCAGACUCCUACGGGAGGCAGCAGUAGGGAAUCUUCGGCAAUGGACGAAAGUCUGACCGAGCAACGCCGCGUGAGUGAAGAAGGUUUUCGGAUCGUAAAGCUCUGUUGUAAGUCAAGAACGUGUGUGAGAGUGGAAAGUUCACACAGUGACGGUAGCUUACCAGAAAGGGACGGCUAACUACGUGCCAGCAGCCGCGGUAAUACGUAGGUCCCGAGCGUUGUCCGGAUUUAUUGGGCGUAAAGGGAGCGCAGGCGGUCAGGAAAGUCUGGAGUAAAAGGCUAUGGCUCAACCAUAGUGUGCUCUGGAAACUGUCUGACUUGAGUGCAGAAGGGGAGAGUGGAAUUCCAUGUGUAGCGGUGAAAUGCGUAGAUAUAUGGAGGAACACCAGUGGCGAAAGCGGCUCUCUGGUCUGUCACUGACGCUGAGGCUCGAAAGCGUGGGUAGCGAACAGGAUUAGAUACCCUGGUAGUCCACGCCGUAAACGAUGAGUGCUAGGUGUUAGGCCCUUUCCGGGGCUUAGUGCCGGAGCUAACGCAAUAAGCACUCCGCCUGGGGAGUACGACCGCAAGGUUGAAACUCAAAGGAAUUGACGGGGGCCCGCACAAGCGGUGGAGCAUGUGGUUUAAUUCGAAGCAACGCGAAGAACCUUACCAGGUCUUGACAUCCCGAUGCUAUUCUUAGAGAUAGGAAGUUACUUCGGUACAUCGGAGACAGGUGGUGCAUGGUUGUCGUCAGCUCGUGUCGUGAGAUGUUGGGUUAAGUCCCGCAACGAGCGCAACCCUUAUUGUUAGUUGCCAUCAUUAAGUUGGGCACUCUAGCGAGACUGCCGGUAAUAAACCGGAGGAAGGUGGGGAUGACGUCAAAUCAUCAUGCCCCUUAUGACCUGGGCUACACACGUGCUACAAUGGUCGGUACAACGAGUUGCGAGCCGGUGACGGCAAGCUAAUCUCUGAAAGCCGAUCUCAGUUCGGAUUGGAGGCUGCAACUCGCCUCCAUGAAGUCGGAAUCGCUAGUAAUCGCGGAUCAGCACGCCGCGGUGAAUACGUUCCCGGGCCU
Molecule: ribosomal RNA, 1377 nt
Filed under: uncultured bacterium
Lineage: Bacteria
Description: bacterial SSU rRNA
Rfam family: Bacterial small subunit ribosomal RNA
Source: RNAcentral